ACGAGGAGCUUGCUCCUCUGAUCAGUGGCGAACGGGUGAGUAACACGUGAGCAACCUGCCCCAGACUCUGGGAUAACAGUUGGAAACAGCUGCUAAUACCGGAUACGAGACGGAGAGGCAUCUCUACCGUCUGGAAAGUUUUUCGGUCUGGGAUGGACUCGCGGCCUAUCAGCUAGUUGGUGAGGUAAUGGCUCACCAAGGCGACGACGGGUAGCCGGCCUGAGAGGGCGACCGGCCACACUGGGACUGAGACACGGCCCAGACUCCUACGGGAGGCAGCAGUGGGGAAUAUUGCACAAUGGGCGAAAGCCUGAUGCAGCGACGCCGCGUGAGGGAUGACGGCCUUCGGGUUGUAAACCUCUUUCAGCAGGGAAGAAGCGAAAGUGACGGUACCUGCAAAAGAAGCACCGGCUAACUACGUGCCAGCAGCCGCGGUAAUACGUAGGGUGCGAGCGUUGUCCGGAAUUAUUGGGCGUAAAGAGCUUGUAGCGGUUUGUCGCGUCUGCAGUGAAAAUCCGAGCUCAACCUCGGACUUGCUGU
This 540-nucleotide ribosomal RNA is filed under the name uncultured bacterium. RNAcentral describes it as "bacterial SSU rRNA". It matches the Rfam family "Bacterial small subunit ribosomal RNA", at positions 71 to 627 of the family's 1533-position model. The record is from RNAcentral.